GAUGAACGCUAGCGGCAGGCCUAAUACAUGCAAGUCGGACGGGAUUUGGGAGCUUGCUCCUAAUGAGAGUGGCGCACGGGUGCGUAACACGUAUGUAACCUACCUUAGUCAGGGGGAUAGCCUCUCGAAAGAGAGAUUAAGACCGCAUAACAUUAUUGAGUGGCAUCAUUUAAUAAUCAAAUAUUUAUAGGACUAAGAUGGGCAUGCGGAACAUUAGCUAGUUGGCAGGGUAACGGCCUACCAAGGCUACGAUGUUUAGGGGAUCUGAGAGGAUGGCCCCCCACACUGGUACUGAGACACGGACCAGACUCCUACGGGAGGCAGCAGUAAGGAAUAUUGGUCAAUGGGCGGAAGCCUGAACCAGCCAUGCCGCGUGCAGGAAGACGGCCCUACGGGUUGUAAACUGCUUUUAUACGGGAAUAAACCUACUUACGUGUAAGUAGCUGAAUGUACUGUAAGAAUAAGGAUCGGCUAACUCCGUGCCAGCCGCCGCAGUAA
RNAcentral lists this ribosomal RNA (498 nucleotides) under uncultured bacterium. RNAcentral's name for it is "partial 16S ribosomal RNA". It matches the Rfam family "Bacterial small subunit ribosomal RNA", at positions 28 to 523 of the family's 1533-position model. The record is from RNAcentral.